UGUUGAACUUGAGAUUUGGGUGUUGGUUCAACUUAAAAGUUUGGCAUUUGUUGAACUUGAGUUUGUGUGUUUGUUGAACUUAAGUUUGUGUCUUGUUUGAACUUGAGUUUUUGGUGUUUUCAAACUUGAGUUUGUGUGUUUUUUGAACUUUAGUUUUUGGUGUCUUUGAACUUGAGUUUGUGGUGUUUUUGAACUUGAGUUUGUGGUGUUUUUGAACAUGACUUUGUGGUGUUUUUGAACUUGAGGUGUUGGAAAUUGUGAAACUUGAGAAUUGGGUAUUGGUUGAACUUGAGUUUGUGUGUUUGUUGAACAAGAGAUUGUUUUGUGUUUUUACUUCAGUUUGUGGUGUUUUUUAAGCUUGAGGUUGUGGUGUUUUUGAACUUGAGUUUGUGGUGUUUUGUACUUGAGUUUGUGUUAUUUUUCAACUUGAGGUUGUGGAACUUGUUAAACUUGAGAAUCAGGUGUUGAUUGAACUUGAGUAUUUGUUUUUUUUAACUUAAGUUUGUGUCGUGUUUGAGCUUGAGUUUGUGGUGUUUUUGAAUUUGAGUUUGCGUGUUUGUUAAACUUGAGUUUGUGUUUUUUUUAACUUGAGUUUGUUGUUUCUGAACUUGAGUUUGUGGCAAUUGUUGAACUUGAGUUUGACAUUUGUUGAACUUGGGUUUGUGGUUUUUGUUGAACUUGAGUUUGUGGUGUUUUUGAACUUGAGGUUGUGGAAUUUGUUAAACUUGAGAAUUGGGUAUUGGUUGAAAUUGAGUUUGUGUGUUUGUUGAACUUGACUUUGUGUCGUGUUUGAACUUGAGUUUAUGGUUUUUUUGAACUUGAGUUUGUGGUGUUUUUGAACUUGAGGUUGUUAGAAAUUGUUAAACUUGAAAAUUUGGUAUUGGUUGAACUUGAGUUUGUGUGUUUGUUGAACUUGAGUUUGUUUCGUAUUUGAACUUCGGUUUGUGGUGUUUUUUGAGCCUGAGGUUGUGGUGUUUUUGAACUUGAGGUUGUGUUGCUUUUGAACUUUAGGUUGUGGCAAUUUCUAAAAUUGAGAUUUGGGUGUUGGUUGAACUUAAAAGUUUGUCAUUUGUUGAACUUUUUUUGUGUUUUGUGUUUUCUUUUUGAGUUUGUGGUUUUUUUUUAACUUGAGUUUGUGUCGUGUUUGAACUUGAGGUUGUGGUGUUUUUGAGCUCGAGUAUUUGUGAUUGUUGAACUUGAGUUUGUGUCAUGUUUGAACUUGAGUUUGUGGUAUUUUUUAACUUGAGUUUGUGUGUUUGUUGAACUUGAGUUGUGGCGUUUGUUGAACUCUAGGUUGUGGCAAUUGUUAAACUUGAGAUUUGGUUGUUGGUUGAACUUGAGUUUGUGUCGUGUUUGAACUUGAGUUCGUGUUGUUUGUUGAACUUGAAUUUGUGUGUUUUUUGAACUUAAUUUUUUUGAACUUGAGUAUGUGGCAAUUGUUGAACUUGAGUCUGUGGUUUUUGGUGAACUUUAAUUGGUGGCAAUUGUUGAACUUGAGUUUGUGGUGUUUUUGAACUUGAGUUUGUUUCGUGUUUGAACUUGAGUUUGUGGCGUUUGUUGAACUCUAGGUUGUGGCAAUUGUUGAACUUGAGAUUUGGGUGUUGGUUCAACUUAAAAGUUUGGCAUUUGUUGAACUUGAGUUUGUGUGUUUGUUGAACUUAAGUUUGUGUCUUGUUUGAACUUGAGUUUUUGGUGUUUUCAAACUUGAGUUUGUGUGUUUUUUGAACUUUAGUUUUUGGUGUCUUUGAACUUGAGUUUGUGGUGUUUUUGAACUUGAGUUUGAAUCGUGGUUGAACUUGAGUUUGUGGUGUUUUUGAACUUGAGUUUGUUUCGUGUUUGAACUUCGGUUUGUGGUGUUUUUUGAGCCUGAGGUUGUGGUGUUUUUGAACUUGAGGUUGUGUUGCUUUUGAACUUUAGGUUGUGGCAAUUUCUAACAUUGAGAUUUGGGUGUUGGUUGAACUUAAAAGUUUGUCAUUUGUUGAACUUGAGUUUGUGGUUUUUUUUUUACUUGAGUUUGUGUCGUGUUUGAACUUGAGGUUGUGGUGUUUUUGAGCUCGAGUAUUUGUGAUUGUUGAACUUGAGUUUGUGUCAUGUUUGAACUUGAGUUUGUGGUCUUUUUGAACUUGAGUUUGUGUGUUUGUUGAACUUGAGUUGUGGCGUUUGUUGAACUCUAGGUUGUGGCAAUUGUUAAACUUGAGAUUUGGUUGUUGGUUGAACUUGAGUUUGUGUCGUGUUUGAACUUGAGUUCGUGUUGUUUGUUGAACUUGAAUUUGUGUGUUUUUUGAACUUAAUUUUUUUGAACUUGAGUUUGUGGCAAUUGUUGAACUUGAGUCUGUGGUUUUUGGUGAACUUUAAUUGGUGGCAAUUGUUGAACUUGAGUUUGUGGUGUUUUUGAACUUGAGUUUGUUUCGUGUUUGAACUUGAGUUUGUGGCGUUUGUUGAACUCUAGGUUCUGGCAAUUGUUGAACUUGAGAUUUGGGUGUUGGUUCAACUUAAAAGUUUGGCAUUUGUUGAACUUGAGUUUGUGUGUUUGUUGAACUUAAGUUUGUGUCUUGUUUGAACUUGAGUUUUUGGUGUUUUCAAACUUGAGUUUGUGUGUUUUUUGAACUUUAGUUUUUGGUGUCUUUGAACUUGAGUUUGUGGUGUUUUUGAACUUGAGUUUGAAUCGUGGUUGAACUUGAGUUUGUGGUGUUUUUGAACUUGAGUUUGUGGUGUUUUUGAACUUGAGGUGUUGGAAAUUGUGAAACUUGAGAAUUGGGUAUUGGUUGAACUUGAGUUUGUGUGUUUGUUGAACAAGAGAUUGUUUUGUGUUUUUACUUCAGUUUGUGGUGUUUUUUAAGCUUGAGGUUGUGGUGUUUUUGAACUUGAGUUUGUGGUGUUUUGUACUUGAGUUUGUGUUAUUUUUCAACUUGAGGUUGUGGAACUUGUUAAACUUGAGAAUCAGGUGUUGAUUGAACUUGAGUAUUUGUUUUUUUUAACUUAAGUUUGUGUCGUGUUUGAGCUUGAGUUUGUGGUGUUUUUGAAUUUGAGUUUGCGUGUUUGUUAAACUUGAGUUUGUGUUUUUUUUAACUUGAGUUUGUUGUUUCUGAACUUGAGUUUGUGGCAAUUGUUGAACUUGAGUUUGUGGCAAUUGUUGAACUUGGGUUUGUGGUUUUUGUUGAACUUGAGUUUGUGGUGUUUUUGAACUUGAGGUUGUGGAAUUUGUUAAACUUGAGAAUUGGGUAUUGGUUGAAAUUGAGUUUGUGUGUUUGUUGAACUUGAGUUUGUGUCGUGUUUGAACUUGAGUUUAUGGUUUUUUUGAACUUGAGUUUGUGGUGUUUUUGAACUUGAGGUUGUUAGAAAUUGUUAAACUUGAAAAUUUGGUAUUGGUUGAACUUGAGUUUGUGUGUUUUUUGAACUUGAGUUUGUGUCGUGUUUGAACUUCGGUUUGUGGUGUUUUUUGAGCCUCAGGUUGUGGUGUUUUUGAACUUGAGGUUGUGUUGCUUUUGAACUUUAGGUUGUGGCAAUUUCUAAAAUUGAGAUUUGGGUGUUGGUUGAACUUAAAAGUUUGUGGGUUUUUUUUAACUUAAGUUUGUGUCGUGUUUGAACUUGAGGUUGUGGUGUUUUUGAGCUCGAGUAUUUGUGAUUGUUGAACUUAAGUUUGUGGUGUUUGAACUUGAGUUUGUGGUUUUUUUUAACUUGAGGUUGUGGUUUUUUGAACUUCAGUGUGUGGAAAUUGUUAAACAUGAGGAUUGGGUGUUGGUUGAACUUGAGUUUGUGGUGUUUGUUGAACUUGAGUUUGUGUCGUGUUUGAACUUGAGUUUGUGGUGUUUUUGAACUUGAGUUUUUGGUGUUCGUUGAACUUGAGUUUGUGUCGUGUUUGAACUUGAGUUUGUGGCGUUUUUUAACUUGAGUUUAUGGUGUUUUUGAACUUGAGUUUGUGUAGUGUUUGAACUUGAGGUUGUUGCAAUUGUUAAAUUGAGAUUUUGGUGUUGGUUGAACUUAAAACUUUGACGUUUGUUGAACUUGAGUUUGAGCUGUUUGUUUAACUUUAGUUUGUGUCGUUUUUGAACUUGAGUUUGUGGUGUUUUUGAACUUGAGUUUGUGGAAAUUGUUAAACUUGAGAAUCGGGUGUUGGUUCAACUUGGGUUUCUGUUGUUUUUGAACUUGAGGUUGUGGAAAUUGUUAAACUUGAGAAUCAGGGGUUGGUUGAACUUGAGUUUGUGUGUUUGUUGAACUUGAGUUUGUUUCGUGUUUGAACUCGAGUUUGUGUUGUUUUUGAACUUGAGUUUGUGUAGUGUUUGAACUUGAGUUUGUGGUGUUUUUUGAGCUUGAGGUUGUGGUGUUUUUGAGCUUGAGUUUGUGGCGUGUUUGAACUUGAGGUUGUGGAAAAACGUAAACUUGAGAUUUGGGUGUUAAUUGAACUUGAGUUUGUUUCGUGUUUGAUCUUGAGGUUGUGGUGUUUUUGAACUUGAGGUUUCUUGUUUGUUUAACUUGAGUUUGUGUGUUUUUUGAACUUGAGUUUGUUGUUUCUGAACUUGAGGUUUUGGCAAUUGUUGAACUUGAGUCUGUGGUUUUUAGUGAACUUUAGUUGGUUGCAAUUGUUGAACAUGAGUUUAUGGCGUUUGUUGAACUUGAGUUUGUGACGUGGAUCAACUUGAGUUUGUGUUAUUUUUGAACUUGAGGUUGUGGCAAUUUCUAAAAUUGAGAAUUCUGUGUUGGUUGAACUUAAAAGUUUGACAUUUGUUGAACUUGAGUGUGGUUUUUGUAGAACUUGAGUUUGUGUCGUGUUUGAACUUGAGGUUGUGGUGUUUUUGAACUCGAGUUUUUGUGUUUGUUGAACUUCAGUUUUUGGCGUGUUUGAACUUAAGUUUGUGGUUUUUUUAACUUGAGGUUGUGGUUUUUUGAACUUCAGUUUGUGGAAAUUUUUAAACUUGAGGAUUGGGUGGUGGUUGAACUUGAGUUUGUGGUGUUUUUUGAACUUGAGGUUGUGGUGUUUUUGACUUGAGUUCGUGGCGUGUUUGAACUUGAGGUUGUUGCAAUUGUUAAACUUGAGAUUUAGGUGUUGGUUGAACUUAAAACUUUGCCAUUUGUUGAACUUGAGUUUGUGGUGUAUGUUGAACUCCAGCUUGUGUUGUGUUUGAACUUGAAGUUGUGGUAUUUUUGAAUUGAGUUUGUGGCGGUUUUUGAACUCAAGUUUUAUGGCGUGUUUGAACUUGAGAUUGUGGCGUGUUUGAACUUGAGUUUGUGGUGGUUUUUGAACUUGAGGUUGUGAAAAUUGUUAAAACUUGAGAAUCAGGUGUUGUUGAACUUGAGUUUGUGGUUUUUGUUGAACUUGAGUUUGUGGUUUUUGUUGAACUUGAGUUUGUGUCGUUUUUGAGCUUGAGGUUGUGGUGUUUUUAAACUUGAGUUUGCGUGUUUGUUGAACUUGAGUUUGUGUGUUUUUUUAACUUGAGGUUGUGGCAAUUUCUAAAAUUGAGAUUUGGGUGUUGGUUGAACUUAAAAGUUUGACAUUUGUUGAACUUCAGUUUGUGGUUUUUGUUGAACUCGAGUUUGUAAUGUUUUUGAACUUGAGGUUGUGGAAAUUGUUAAACUUGAGAAUUGGGUAUUGGUUGAACUCGAGUUUUUGUGUUUGUUGAACUUGAGUUUGUGUCGUGUUUGAACUUCAGUUUGUGGUGUUUUUUGAACUUGAGGUUGUGGUUUUUUUGAACUUGAGUUUGUGGCGGUUUUUGAACUUGAGGUUGUGGCAAUUGUUGAACUUGAGUUUGUGACGUGUUUGAACUUGAGGUUGUGGUGUUUUUGAACUUGAGGUUUCUUGUUUGUUUAACUUGAAUUUGUGUGUUUUUUGAACUUGAGCUUGUUGUUUCUGAACUUGAGGUUUUGGCAAUUGUUGAACUUGAGUCUGUGGUUUUUAGUGAACUUUAGUUGGUUGCAAUUGUUGAACAUGAGUUUAUGGCGUUUGUUGAACUUGAGUUUGUGACGUGGAUGAACUUCAGUUUGUGUUAUUUUUGAACUUUAGGUUGUGGCAAUUUCUAAAAUUGAGAAUUGGGUGUUGGUUGAACUUAAAAGUUUGACUUUUGUUGAACUUGAGUGUGGUUUUUGUUGAACUUGAGUUUGUGUCGUGUUUGAACUUGAGGUUGUGGUGUUUUUGAACUCGAGUUUUUGUGUUUGAUGAACUUCAGUUUUUGGCGUGUUUGAACUUGAGUUUGUGGUUUUUUUAACUUGAGGUUGUGAAAAUUGUUAAAACUUGAGAAUCAGGUGUUGGUUGAACUUGAGUUUGUGGUUUCUGUUGAACUUGAUUUUGUGCUUUGAUUGAACUUUAGUUUAUGUUUUUUUGUACUUGAGUUUGUGGUGUUUUUUUAACUUGAGGUUGUGGAAAUUGUAAAAACGAGAAUCAGGUGUUGGUUGAACUUGAGUUUGUGGUUUUUGUUGAACUUGAUUUUGUUUGUUUUUUUAACUUGAGUUUCUUGUUUCUGAACUUGAGGUUUUGGCAAUUGUUGAACUUGAUAAUUGGGUAUUGGUUGAACUUGAGUUUGUGUGUUUGUUGAACUUGAGUUUGUGUCGUGUUUGAACUUCAGUUUGUGGUGUUUUUUGAACUUGAGGUUGUGGUGUUUUUGAACUUGAGUUUUUGGUGUUUUUGAACUUGAGGUUGUGGCAAUUGUUGAACUUGAGUUUGUGACGUGUUUGAACUUGAUUUUGUUGUGUUUUUGAACUCGAGUUCGUGUUGUUUUUGAACUUGAGUUUGUGGUGUUUGUUGAACUUGAGUUUGUGUCGUGUUUGAACUUGAGGUUGUGGUGUUUUUGAACUCGAGUUUUUGUGUUUGUUGAACUUGAGUUUGUGUCGUGUUUGAACUUGAGUUUGUGGUGUUUUUUGAACUUGAGGUUGUGGUGUUUUUGAACUUGAGUUUGUGGCGGUUUUUGAACUUGAGGUUGUUGCAAUUGUUGAACUUGAAAAUUGGGUAUUGGUUGAACUUGAGUUUGUGUCGUGUUUGAACUUGAGUUUUUGGUGUUUUUGAACUUGAGGUUGUGGCAAUUGUUGAACUUGAGUUUGUGACGUGUUUGAACUUGAUUUUGUGGUGUUUUUGAACUCGAGUUCGUGUUGUUUUUGAACUUGAGUUUGUGGCGGUUUUUGAACUUGAGGUUGUUGCAAUUGUUGAACUUGAAAAUUGGGUAUUGGUUGAACUUGAGUUUGUGUGUUUUUUGAACUUGAGGUUGUGGUGUUUUUUGAACUUGAGUUUUUGGUGUUUUUGAACUUGAGCUUGUGGCAAUUGUUGAACUUGAGUUUGUGACGUGUUUGAACUUGAUUUUGUUGUGUUUUUGAACUCGAGUUCGUGUUGUUUUUGAACUUGAGUU
RNAcentral lists this long non-coding RNA (7331 nucleotides) under Xyrichtys novacula (pearly razorfish). Lineage: Eukaryota; Metazoa; Chordata; Actinopteri; Labriformes; Labridae. The record is from RNAcentral.